GGGUUCCACCACAGCUGUGGAGACCUGAGGAGCUGGGUAGAUAGCAAACUCUAGUUUAGACUUUUUUCCAUAAUCCACAGAGAGGCGCUCCAUCAGCAAAGAUGUAAAGCCAGAGCCGGUGCCCCCUCCAAAGCUGUGGAAGAUGAGGAACCCCUGCAGUCCAGAACAGGCAUCAGCCUGAAAGCCAACAGAAGAAAAGAAAGAUGAUCAGCUGUUCUGGGUGGAAAAGCUGCCGGUAGGUGCCGGUUCGUACUUCGUCUGAACAAGAGGAAAAAAGAGUUGUAUGCUUAGAAUUAUAAGCUUAGAAGAGAUGGUUCACCAAAGUUAAUAACAUUUGCAAAACAAAUGGAACAUUUUACACAUGUUGGCAAACAUGUGCUAUGGAAUAUCUGCAUGGGGGUAAGCGGCAGGAUGAUGAUGACAAGUACAGAGGUAAUGAGCAGUGUCUGGGAUGAUCUCAGUUUUGACCAAAGAACUGGGCUCCUAUCUGAGUGUAAAUGGUUGUGCUGUACAAAUAAAUUAAUUUAGUAGAUGAGGUUUGUGCCAUGGUGUGAUAAAAUUUCAGCUUUUCCAACUGAUUGGAUGUAGAUUGAUCAGAACCUUCAAGGGAAUUAUUAGAAGAGAUAAGGCGUGCAGGAAAAACACGUCUGUCAGGACACUCCCACUUCAUUAUUCACGUUCUUGUUUUCCACAUGAAUGUGAAGAAAACAAUACUUUCUUUAAGAAAGUCAAAUUGUAUUCAACCAGUAUGGGUUUGGAGAGUAGAAAACUUUUUAUUUUAGUAUCAGUUAAAGCAUCCAUGACAGAGCGUAGUUAGUUUUCACCUUUUCAUUGGGAGUCACAUCUUUUAGUAAUACGUGCUAUUAAAACCUCUAAACGUAUCAGUUCUGUCUGGAUGCUGGGAUCAUCCCUAAAGGUGAAGACACAGGCCAUUCAGUGGUCUGAACUUCAGCACAGAGAAGAGUUAAUUCAUUUCAG
Lagopus muta (rock ptarmigan) is the source of this 978-nucleotide long non-coding RNA. RefSeq lists it as uncharacterized. NCBI's taxonomy places the organism in Eukaryota, Metazoa, Chordata, Aves, Galliformes, Phasianidae. The record is from RefSeq and is a predicted model, not a curated record. The transcript has 3 exons.